Molecule: ribosomal RNA, 462 nt
Filed under: Streptococcus mitis
Lineage: Bacteria; Bacillati; Bacillota; Bacilli; Lactobacillales; Streptococcaceae
Description: bacterial SSU rRNA
Rfam family: Bacterial small subunit ribosomal RNA
Source: RNAcentral
GACGAACGCUGGCGGCGUGCCUAAUACAUGCAAGUAGAACGCUGAAGGAGGAGCUUGCUUCUCUGGAUGAGUUGCGAACGGGUGAGUAACGCGUAGGUAACCUGCCUGGUAGCGGGGGAUAACUAUUGGAAACGAUAGCUAAUACCGCAUAAUAGCAGUUAUCGCAUGAUAACUGUUUGAAAGGUGCAAUUGCACCACUACCAGAUGGACCUGCGUUGUAUUAGCUAGUUGGUGGGGUAACGGCUCACCAAGGCGACGAUACAUAGCCGACCUGAGAGGGUGAUCGGCCACACUGGGACUGAGACACGGCCCAGACUCCUACGGGAGGCAGCAGUAGGGAAUCUUCGGCAAUGGACGGAAGUCUGACCGAGCAACGCCGCGUGAGUGAAGAAGGUUUUCGGAUCGUAAAGCUCCGUUGUAAGAGAAGAACGAGUGUGAGAGUGGAAAGUUCACACUGUGACG